This 393-nucleotide ribosomal RNA is filed under the name uncultured eukaryote. Its description in RNAcentral is "SSU rRNA". It matches the Rfam family "Eukaryotic small subunit ribosomal RNA", at positions 587 to 972 of the family's 1831-position model. The record is from RNAcentral.
AGCUCCAAUAGCGUAUAUUAAAGUUGUUGCAGUUAAAAAGCUCGUAGUUGGAAGUUGGACACGGCCGGGCGGUCCACCUUUGGGUGCGUACUGCUCAGUGGUUGCUUCGGCGGCCACGAGGCUGAGUCUCAGCCGCGUCCUCGUGUGCAGCAAUGCGCACGCGGGACAGGCAGUUACCUUGAAAAAAUUAGAGUGUUCAAAGCAGGCGUCUCCGCCCGAAUAGAUUAGCAUGGAAUAACGGAAUAGGACCUUGGUCUUGUUUUGCUGGUUCUCAGGACCACGGUAAUGAUCAACAGGGACAGUUGGGGGCACUCGUAUUUCAUUGCUAGAGGUGAAAUUCUUGGAUUUAUGAACGACGAACUUUUGCGAAAGCAUCUGCCAAGGAUGUUCUCA